Non-coding RNA from Paramuricea clavata, 236 nucleotides. Lineage: Eukaryota; Metazoa; Cnidaria; Anthozoa; Malacalcyonacea; Plexauridae. The record is from the annotation of a GenBank genome assembly.
GCAGGGGCGGAUCCAGCCAAAAAUCUGACCGUAGCAUUUUCCAAGACCUCGCAUAGGUAGGGGGGUCCGGGGGCAUGCCCCCCGGAAAAUUUUUGAAAUUUGAAGCCCGGAAAUGCCAUUUCCUGCGUUCUGAGCACUGCAUGUGAUCAUUAAAUUUGCCCUCAUUGUAUUCAUUUCUCAAGCAAAAAUAAGCCGAAAUGAUCUCAAAAUGUAAACUAUUGCUCGCGUAUAUUUUA